Molecule: long non-coding RNA, 589 nt
Filed under: Rattus norvegicus (Norway rat)
Lineage: Eukaryota; Metazoa; Chordata; Mammalia; Rodentia; Muridae
Description: long non-coding RNA NONRATT019983
Source: RNAcentral
AGUCCAAUGGGGCUGGGCCUGAGGGACAAGCCAGAGACUCAGUCCCAGAGAGUAGGACUGCUCCCAAUAGCCAGCAGCAGAAUAAAGACACAUCACCUGUCCCCUUUCCCCCUUGGGACACCUCGCAGCAGGGAAAGCACAUGCACAAAAGGGCUGGAGCCACAGCAACAGUGUGGACACAGAGCAAAACCAGACACCUAGUGACUGCCGGCAGCAGGUGCCUCCUGGCAAGGACACAUUACAGUGUGAUUGCUUCACAGCCCGGUUCCAAAGCCACUACUGGUGCCAGGCAAGCAUCAGGACCUGAGUCUGGAUUCCCAGAAUUCACAUACAAGCCAAACCUGGGGCCAGAGGGAUGGUCCAGCAGUUACAGGCACAGAGAGCUCUUGCAGAGGACCCGAGUCUGGUUCCCAGCAUGUAUAUUGGUGGCUCUCAACUGCCCGAAUAACUCAAGCUCCAGGGAUCCCAACAUUCUCUUUCUCCCAGCCUCUAAUGGAACCCAUACCUACAUGCGCAAACCCACACACGGACACACAUGCAUACACCUAAUUUUUUAAAAAUAUUUUUUUAAUAAAAUCAGGUCUUAAGG